GGAAUGUUCCGUAAUAAAGGCAGCACUUGAAAGUAUUUCGGUUGUUCGACAACACACUAUGCUUGGAAACAAUACUUUUUGUUUAUAUUGUGGUAUUCGCUAUGCUGAACCGCCAAUUGGUCAACUUCGAUUGAAAGCACCAAUGAAAAAGGAACUAUGGAAUGGAGCGUAUGAUGCAUCGGACUAUGAAGCAGCAUGUGUACAACCAUACUAUUCUAACCUCACCGUGUCAGAAGACUCUUCCUCAAUGUGUUUGUAACGAGCACAUCGAUAUGCAGUAGUUCAAGUGAUAUUGCCGUAAUUAUUUACAUUCAUGGUGGAGGUUUUAUCAGCGAAACGGCCAAUGCAUAUGGUCCUCAUUUGAUGUUGAAUAAGUGUGUGAUCCCCGUUACAUUGAACUAUCGACUUGGUAUUUUUGUUUUUUUGUUUUUUGCCAUUGGCCUCAGGUAAUAUCGGAUUUAACAAAUCACAUUAAUGGGUGAAAGUUCCGGUGGUGCUUCGGUUAGUUUUCAAAAAUUGAAUGCAAAGUCAAGAAAUUUAUUUAAACAAGCAUAUUAUAUCACCAUAUAACAACAAAACCGAUUUUAUAGUGAAUUUAGCCAAAAAUGAAGGUGAAGAGAUACAUAACACCAAACAAUUAAUUGAAUAUAUCUUAACACAAUGUUAAUCACACAAGCCCAAAAGAAAUAAAUCCUCUUGAUACAUCAUUGCUAACAUUUAGACUAGAUAAACAACCGUGCAUCGAACGUAAGUUUAUGGAAUUUAUUCUGAAUUCAUCAUAAAAUUCCAGUUGAAUCUGCAAAAAAUCCAUUUAUGACCGAAUCACCUCAAGUGCUAUUGGCAAAGGGUAUUGAUAUUCCCACUAUUUACACACAUACUGCUAUGAAAUCAAUUUUAGAUGUUAUACUCAACCAAAAGAAAAUGAACAAUUUCAAUGAAAAUUUUACAUUCGUAUUACCAUUCCAUAACAUUGAUCAAGUCGCAUGUCAAGAAGAGAUGGCCCCACUUUUUACUGAUAUUCGGCGAUUUUAUUUUGGCACAGCUCCAAUA
Molecule: long non-coding RNA, 1050 nt
Organism: Contarinia nasturtii (swede midge)
Lineage: Eukaryota; Metazoa; Arthropoda; Insecta; Diptera; Cecidomyiidae
Exons: 3
Source: RefSeq, a predicted model, not a curated record